UCUGUCCCCUUGCCUAGAGUGCUUUGACCAUGUGACAGCAGUCCCGAGUGAAUUCUCUUUGACUUCUUAUCUUCCAUAUGGCUUUCCCCUCCUCUGUGCGCUCACAUUAAUCAGGGAUCGUUUUGAUUGAAGGGGGUGGUUGCCUUGUUUCUGACACAAUAACAACAGUCUAAACACUUCAUUGUGACUAAAAAGAGGAGAGAAUUCUUCCACGAGAAGACAUUGAUGACUAAAUCACUGUCACUUUAGUAAAUGGUGGAAACUAUCUGCUUGAUUCUGUUGGCCAUCACAGCCUACGUUCCCCACGUCUGCUGCUGCCUUUCAGUAGAAGGAAUUUGCUCCCUGAUUUUGCCCAUCGCCUGAGCAAGUUAAGGCAGGGCUGCUUUUCAGCACUGGAGGAAAGAGAUCAGAAGAGGGUGUCUUUGGCUGAGCUACAUGAAGAUCCAGCUGUGUUUAAGCUAGACCUCCACAGCACAAAGAAGGGUCACCUCACCUCCAGGGCUUCACCGCUUCAAAUAAAGACAUCCAUUCACACAAUCCUGCCAGUCGCUCAGCCUGCUGCUGCUUUUCAUCUGCCGCCCUUGUGGUGAUCUCCAUGUAGGACAGACUGGUGGUGACAUAAGCCCUUUCUUUUUUAAGGUCUUGCUUUUUUCCUGCUCGAGUGCCUUUGAAGAUUAUGGAGUCUCAGAGUCAAUUUUGGCAACUUCCACGUCAAUGCUGAGCCAGCUUUGGCUGCCGUUCAGUGUUUCUUUAUUUAAUUUAUUUAGUUGGUAAUUA
Pimephales promelas (fathead minnow) is the source of this 777-nucleotide non-coding RNA. The record is from RefSeq and is a predicted model, not a curated record. NCBI's taxonomy places the organism in Eukaryota, Metazoa, Chordata, Actinopteri, Cypriniformes, Leuciscidae.